This 272-nucleotide ribosomal RNA is filed under the name uncultured Peptostreptococcaceae bacterium. RNAcentral's name for it is "partial 16S ribosomal RNA". It matches the Rfam family "Bacterial small subunit ribosomal RNA", at positions 56 to 339 of the family's 1533-position model. The record is from RNAcentral. Lineage: Bacteria; Bacillati; Bacillota; Clostridia; Peptostreptococcales; Peptostreptococcaceae.
UGCAAGUCGAGCGAACCCUUCGGGGUGAGCGGCGGACGGGUGAGUAACGCGUGGGUAACCUGCCCUGUACACACGGAUAACAUACCGAAAGGUAUGCUAAUACGAGAUAAUAUAUUUUAAUCGCAUGGUUAAGAUAUCAAAGCUCCGGCGGUACAGGAUGGACCCGCGUCUGAUUAGCUAGUUGGUGAGGUAAUAGCUCACCAAGGCGACGAUCAGUAGCCGACCUGAGAGGGUGAUCGGCCACACUGGAACUGAGACACGGUCCAGACUCC